GUGCUUGCUGUGGUCAUUUUCUGAGCAGACUAUUUGCAUAUAAAGAAACUGAGGCACAGAGAGGCCGGGACACUUGGAAAGGUCACACAGUAAAUAAGUGGAGGAGGUGGAUUCCACACUAGCUGUAUGACUGCAGAGCCACAACUCUUAAGAGUUUUGCUAAAACAGGAAGGGGGAGAGCAGCUCCCUCCCAAAAAAGACAAGACCUCUGCCAGCAUCCACAGCACAUUCUCCUGCUCCAGGUUUGGGGUCGGCCUGAGAAUCUGCAUUUCUGUAAGCUCCCACGCGCUGCUGCUGCUGCUGGUCCUUGGGCCACACUUUGAGGAGCAGCAUCCUGCAGGAGGGAAGCAGAGGCCCUGGCCCUUCAUCACUGUGAUGAUAUCUGCUCCACUGAGGGAUGCCUCCUCCAACCAAGAUGGCAGCCUCAUCUCCAUGGCAACCCCUAGAAACUUUGCCUUGGUGACCAAGUUGCAAAUUAAUGACCUCAAGCUCUCUAGGAGCAAGAUGGAGCAGCUGGCCCUGACAUCCACUGGGUCAGCCAAACUCAUUUUUCUGGAUCGUGCAUCCCAAAAGCUCAUUGUACCAAAGGACCAUUGUAGAAAUAAAUAGAUCUGUUCCUCCCAAAAGACCCUUCAUAUGUUUACAGAUUUAAAAGCAUAUCAUUUGUGGUAAAUUUUAAGGACAUAAAAACUGUCAUGAUAUUGAUGAGAAGAUAUUUCAUUGCAGUGGAUGGAAAAUACACAAAACCAUGGCAGUUUACCUGGAAGUUUCAGAUGGUAGAGGUUCUUUCCAGAGUGGCUACCAAGCACGGAGGGCAGGUGCUGGCCAGGAUUAUCUCAUUUCAUUCUUAUGGCAACUCCCUGGUGAAGUUGCUCCUGCCACCCUGGUUUUCAGAGAAAGAAGAGGCAGCUGGUAAAAGGCAGAGAGGAUCUGAAUGCAGGACUCUGCCCCCAAAGCGUGUACGCCUUCAUCCAUACCUCCCUGCCUCUGUUUUUGCCGUUUGACCUACAUCAAGAAUAAGCCCUGCGGGCAGAAAUUUCAGGUCACUAAGAAAGUGUAUGCCUUCCAUACAGAGCAGAAGCUGACCAAAGAGUCACUCUGCUGCUCUUUUACUUCCCGUUUAAAAUCAAAUAUUACACAACACUCAGAUAUUAUCACUUUGUGCCUGCAUGGUUUUAGAAACCCUUCUACCUGCAUGAUGGUUCCAGGCAGAUCUAGAUACCCCUCUUUUUUAAUUUUUUUUAUUUUUUGAGAUUACACACAGAAAGGGGGUAGAAGAUUGUAUUUUCUAAAGUUGCCCACAACAGUAUCUGCCAUCCAUGUGCUCUUCUUCCAAUGUGACCUUGAUACCCCUUCCUUGAUGAGUGGGGUCUGGGUCUCUCCCACAUCCAAAUUUGAAAAGACCUUUGUGAUUUCCUUGGCCAAAAGAGAACAGCAGAACUGUUGCUGUAGGACAUCUAAGGCCAGAUGAUAAGGAUGUCAUGCGCUUCUGCAUGGCUCUCAUGGCACUCUCGCUCUUGGGAUCAGGUGCCAUGUUGUGAGGAAGCCCACAUCACCAUGUGCAGAAACCACAUGGAGAGGCCAGUGAAGGCAUUCCAGCUGGAAGCCCAGCCAGGGUCCCAGCUGGCAACCACAUCAUCUGCCAGGCAUGAACCAAGAUGCCUCCAGAUCCUUUUAGCCCCCACAUGUCAGGCCACUUUGCAUCUUCCCAGCAGAGGUCCCCAAAAUGAUGGAGUGGCAACAACUCUCCCUGAUUUGCCCUGUCUACAUUCUGUACCGCAGGACCUGUGAGCAUCAUAAAGUAGAUCUUUACAUCACAGGGUUUUGGAGUUGUUUUUUAUGCACCAUGGUAACUGGAACUGAAGGUAUUUACUCACACUCAGGUGUCUAAGGAGGAAAAUCUCAUGGCCUUUAUUGUACCUUCUCUCGAGCAGCUGUGAUGUGCAGGGGCUAUGCUAAACAUGAUUGUAUUAUUUUAAUAUCCUAUCUUUGGAUUCAUAGUAGUAUGUGUCUUAAAGGCAAAAGGGGCGGGUGUUGGAGGGGAAUGGGUGACGGGCACUGAGGCAGACACUUGACGGGAUGAGCACUGGGUGUUUUUCUGUAUGUUGGUAAAUUGAACACCAAUAAAAAUUAAUUUAAAAAAAGGCA
Vulpes vulpes (red fox) is the source of this 2148-nucleotide long non-coding RNA. NCBI's taxonomy places the organism in Eukaryota, Metazoa, Chordata, Mammalia, Carnivora, Canidae. The record is from Ensembl.